GACGAACGCUGGCGGCGUGCCUAAUACAUGCAAGUUGAGCGCUGAAGGUUGGUCCUUGUACCAACUGGAUGAGCAGCGAACGGGUGAGUAACGCGUGGGGAAUCUGCCUUUGAGCGGGGGACAACAUUUGGAAACGAAUGCUAAUACCGCAUAAAAACUUUAAACACAAGUUUUAAGUUUGAAAGAUGCAAUUGCAUCACUCAAAGAUGAUCCCGCGUUGUAUUAGCUAGUUGGUGAGGUAAAGGCUCACCAAGGCGAUGAUACAUAGCCGACCUGAGAGGGUGAUCGGCCACAUUGGGACUGAGACACGGCACAAACUCCUACGGGAGGCAGCAGUAGGGAAUCUUCGGCAAUGGACGAAAGUCUGACCGAGCAACGCCGCGUGAGUGAAGAAGGGUUUCGGAUCGGAAAACUCUGUUGGUAGAGAAGAACGUUGGUGAGAGUGGAAAGCUCAUCAGGUGACGGUAACUACCCAGAAAGGGACGGCUAACUACGUG
RNAcentral lists this ribosomal RNA (497 nucleotides) under uncultured bacterium. RNAcentral's name for it is "partial 16S ribosomal RNA". It matches the Rfam family "Bacterial small subunit ribosomal RNA", at positions 28 to 507 of the family's 1533-position model. The record is from RNAcentral.